CCCUUAGAUGUUCUGGGCCGCACGCGUGCUACACUGAGUGGAUCAGCGGGUCAGGUUGCGCGAAAGUGUUUCCUAAUCUUGAAAUCCGCUCGUGAUGGGGAUUGACGGUUGCAAUUUUCCGUCAUGAACGAGGAAUACCUUGUAAGCGCGGGUCAUCAUCCCGCGCUGAAUACGUCCCUGCCCUUUGUACACACCGCCCGUCGCACCUACCGAUUGGAUGGUCCGGUGAAGCCUCGGGAUUGUGGCCAGUGCCUUUUUGGUUUUGGUUGCGAGAACUUGUCUAAACCUUAUCAUCUAGAGGAAGGUGAAGUCGUAACA
RNAcentral lists this ribosomal RNA (318 nucleotides) under uncultured eukaryote. RNAcentral describes it as "partial 18S ribosomal RNA". It matches the Rfam family "Eukaryotic small subunit ribosomal RNA", at positions 1470 to 1796 of the family's 1831-position model. The record is from RNAcentral.